This 254-nucleotide ribosomal RNA is filed under the name uncultured bacterium. RNAcentral's name for it is "partial 16S ribosomal RNA". It matches the Rfam family "Bacterial small subunit ribosomal RNA", at positions 524 to 776 of the family's 1533-position model. The record is from RNAcentral.
CACGUAGGGGGCAAGCGUUGUCCGGAUUCAUUGGGCGUAAAGAGCUCGUAGGCGGUUCGAUAAGUCGGGUGUGAAACCUCCAGGCUCAACCUGGAGACGCCACCCGAUACUGUCGUGACUAGAGUCCAGUAGGGGAGCGUGGAAUUCCUGGUGUAGCGGUGAAAUGCGCAGAUAUCAGGAAGAACACCAAUGGCGAAGGCAGCUCUCUGGGACGGUACUGACGCUGAGACGCGAAAGCGUGGGGAGCGAACAGG